This 73-nucleotide transfer RNA is filed under the name Loxodonta africana (African savanna elephant). Its description in RNAcentral is "tRNA-Gln (CTG) (tRNA-Gln-CTG-20-1)". It matches the Rfam family "tRNA". Rfam says of the family: Transfer RNA (tRNA) molecules are approximately 80 nucleotides in length. Their secondary structure includes four short double-helical elements and three loops (D, anti-codon, and T loops). Further hydrogen bonds mediate the characteristic L-shaped molecular structure. tRNAs have two regions of fundamental functional importance: the anti-codon, which is responsible for specific mRNA codon recognition, and the 3' end, to which the tRNAs corresponding amino acid is attached (by aminoacyl-tRNA synthetases). tRNAs cope with the degeneracy of the genetic code in two manners: having more than one tRNA (with a specific anti-codon) for a particular amino acid; and 'wobble' base-pairing, i.e. permitting non-standard base-pairing at the 3rd anti-codon position. Lineage: Eukaryota; Metazoa; Chordata; Mammalia; Proboscidea; Elephantidae. The record is from RNAcentral.
AGUUUCCAUGGUGUAAUGGUGAGCACUCUGGACUCUGAAUCCAGUGAUCCAAGUUCAAAUCUCGGUGGGACUU